RNAcentral lists this transfer RNA (74 nucleotides) under Chloroflexota bacterium. Its description in RNAcentral is "Chloroflexi bacterium tRNA-Ile". It matches the Rfam family "tRNA". Rfam says of the family: Transfer RNA (tRNA) molecules are approximately 80 nucleotides in length. Their secondary structure includes four short double-helical elements and three loops (D, anti-codon, and T loops). Further hydrogen bonds mediate the characteristic L-shaped molecular structure. tRNAs have two regions of fundamental functional importance: the anti-codon, which is responsible for specific mRNA codon recognition, and the 3' end, to which the tRNAs corresponding amino acid is attached (by aminoacyl-tRNA synthetases). tRNAs cope with the degeneracy of the genetic code in two manners: having more than one tRNA (with a specific anti-codon) for a particular amino acid; and 'wobble' base-pairing, i.e. permitting non-standard base-pairing at the 3rd anti-codon position. The record is from RNAcentral. Lineage: Bacteria; Bacillati; Chloroflexota.
GGGCCUGUAGCUCAGCUGGUUAGAGCGCACGCCUGAUAAGCGUGAGGUCCCAAGUUCAAAUCUUGGCAGGCCCA